Long non-coding RNA from Cuculus canorus (common cuckoo), 8032 nucleotides. RefSeq lists it as uncharacterized. The record is from RefSeq and is a predicted model, not a curated record. The transcript has 8 exons. NCBI's taxonomy places the organism in Eukaryota, Metazoa, Chordata, Aves, Cuculiformes, Cuculidae.
GGUCGUAGGUUGGCUGUUCCUGAGCGUGAGGAAGGGCCGGAGUCGUGUCUGACGGUUGGACUCGGUGUGUUUGUCCAACCCAGCGAUUCCGUUCUAUGUCUGCAGCCCUUCCUCCGAGGCGCGGAGGGCAGAAACGCUUCGAAGCUCCCGGGCGGCCGUGGGAUGGCAGAGGAGGGGCUGUCUGGGAGGCGCUGUGUGCAGGUGUUCCCUUCAGGGGUGGGCGGAACGACCGUGUUCUCUCUCUCUGCAGUCAGGAGGUGGAAGGGUUACUUUUUGCUCUUGCACAGUCCGCAGAACCAAGUUUCUGUCAGUGGUCCCAUAGCCUUUGAUUUGAAGGAAUGCGUGUUGUGGCGAACUCCGCAGGGAGUUUGAUCGUGUGUGUUCGAUCGGCUCUUGGAUUCCUUCUCUGAAGUGGAGGUUACUCUGAAGGUGCUAUAGUCCUGUCCCUGGAGGUAGAUGUUUAUUUUUCUAUCCCACCCUUUUUGUAAGGCGAGGCCAGAUGGAGUCGUAGCCUCUACAUCUCAUAGCAGAGAGACAACAUAGAAUCAUAGAAUGGUUUGAGUUGGAAGGGACCUUAAAGACCAUCCAGUUCCAGGCCGGGGCAGGGACACUUCCCGCUGGGUCGAGUUGCUCAAAGCCCCAUCCAGCCUGGCCUUGAACAUAUCCAGGGAGGGGGCAAGAUCUAAAUCUUCCCUCCUUCAGCUUAAAACCAUUACCCCUCGUCCUGUCACUUCAGUCCCUGGUAAAGAGCCCCCUCAGCUUUUCCGUAGGCCCCUUUGAGUACUGUAAGGCUGCUAUGAUUUCUCCACAGAGCCUUCUCUUCUCUAGACUGAACAAUCUGAGUUUGUCUCUGCCUGUCCUCAUGCAGGAGGUGCUCCAGCCCUCUGAUCAUGCUCCUCCGGAUUCGCUCUAGCUAUGCUGAGGACUUCAGAACAGAACACAGAACAUCUUUUUUCCCCGAGUUUCAAGAGCAGGUGUUCCAAACAUGGAUGUAGUUAUCCCAUGUAUAAUGCUAGAGCACACUUUCUUUCCAAAGUGAGGAAUUUUAUUCCUCAUGCCAGCCAGCUUCUGUUUGUUAGAUUAUUGUUUAUCGGUCUUUUUAGAGCAUUAUGACUACUUCUGAGGGCUGGUGCAGGCUUGGAGUACCUGCUCUCUCUGCAGUGUGAACACUGACCCAAAAUAAGGUUGUUAGAGCAGGUUUGUAGGAUCAACAUUUUUCAUUAGUGAAAUUGAUUACAAAUACCCGAAGCAGAGCCUGGAUUGAAGACAGUGAGACUAGUAGAGUUCUCGACAGGCAAGAUGCGUUGUCACUGAGGACACAGGUAUUUCACAGCUUAGCCACAGGCCUUGCACCACUCAGCUGUUCCUGAUCAUUCCACUGUGCAGUCUUUAGAAGAGCUCUCUUUCAGCUUUCAACCCCAGAAUGCCGCCCUGUUUGUGACUUGCUUAUUAGGCUACUUAAGUGCAAAUAGAUGCUCUCUGAGAAGAGUAGCAUAGUCGGAGAUGUGAGCUACGGGCCCCAGAAUUACGGAGAAAGGUCAAUAGUAACACCCACAGUAAAGGCAAGCUGUGGAAAGCAUCUUAAUAGGAUAAAUGAUUUAACCUGGGUAAACAAUGAAACAUUAUUUUCUAGUCAGCUGCUGCAUGUGGCAUAAAGGUAUUAGCAGAUGGUAUUAAAAAGAUUUUUUGCCUUUCUUUCUGCAUGGGCUUUCUCUUGACCUGAUUUUUGGAGCUAGGCAGAUGCAUUAUUAGUCUCAUGAAUGAAAGCAUUUCAACCUAUUGAGACCUGUUUCUGUGUUUCUAAAAGCAAUGGAUGCAGGACUGUCUUCUCUCCCAGUCUGGCUGCUCUGUAUACUUAUCUUGAGUCCAGGUGAUGAAUUUUUAACCUAUUGGACCUGGAGAUGUAAAGACAAAUUUAACAACUUUGCUUCUUCCCCUUUCCCUGUUAUUUCAGGGUCAUGAAUUAUGAAUGUAUGUGGGGAGUCUUGCUGUGUUUCAGUGAUUCCAUGCUGAGAGAUGAGUCUUUAUAAUGUCACCAAAGAGCAGCUCCUGUGGAAGGCCAUUCUUCAUGCAGGCAUGAGCCUGAUCCUAUUUAGAAGGGGUCAAAACUUGUGAUGCUACAGUUAAAUGCAACUGGAUUACUGCAGUGCAUAAGCAUUUUAUAAAGGAAGAUAGCAUACACUCUUUUAUGCUUAUGUCACCAGAAUGGGCAUAAGAAAUAAAAUCAGUACAAGUUCUUCAGUCAGUGAUUCAUCAGCAGUUAUGUUCUGCUAAGUGUACUGUUGUCACGGAAAUAACUGCCUUGAAUGACAAAAGCUCAUAUAUUGCCCUGAACAAAUUGAUAUUCAGUGGAACGCUUGACAGAGUAACCCCAAAAAUAAGGUAUUGUAAAAACUGCCAGUAUAUCUUCGUAACUCUCUAGCUAGGCUUUAGUUACCCACAAAACAAUGAGAAACAGCCUGGCCUUGAGUUUAAAAACGAACAUCAACAGAGCAAACUAUUAUUUUUAAUUCAUUUGAAAGCCAUAAAAUUAUUCAGUGUAAUCAUAUUAAAGUUUUAAUUUGCCUUUCUGCUAACAAUAUUCAGAAUUUUGAGAUGACCUAGUUUAAAGCUGCAAAUAUGAUACAUGUUGGUCCUUUACUGAUUUUUGAAUGCAACUUUAUAUAGUUACUUUAAGCCAGUUGUAGCAGGCUGCAUUUGGAGUGCACCACUGGAAAGCUUGUCAUUCCCAUUCAACCAGUUAAUGCUCUUGCACUGUACACAUUUGUAUCACUAUUCAUCAGAAAUAUAAUCUCUUGGAUCAUCUAGUAUGUCUUUUUGGAGUUGCAUCUUAGCCAUUCCUUGUUCCGAUUUUCUCUUUUGUUGUGGUUAGGCAUGCAGGAUUGUUACUCUGGAAAGUUUGGUUCUAUCUUGAUUUUCCUCACUAAUAUUACACUACACAAGGCUCUAACGACUCACAUGUUGUACCUUGGUUACUUUGAAGUACCUGUAAGUUCAUGAGAAAAACCCAGUGCAAUGGGAUGUUAUUUGUUCUGGUGUUUGCAUCAGUUUUAAUAUGAUAAAAUUAUUCUUGAUUUAUAUUUAUGCAAGAUCAGAAUCAAGCCUGGUAUAUUCUAACUUGUUAUGAUUUCUUUGCUGAAAAGUCACAUUAGCUUGUAAUUUUUUGAAUACUACGGUAACAUGCACAAACUAAUAUCAGGCUCACCUAACUUAAAGGCUCCUUGAAGAGGUAAAUGGCUAAGAGUGGAACUUAGAAAAGACAGUGUACUUAGUGGAGACCAGCAUGAGAGGCUGCAAUAGGAAGUAGCAGAAAUAGGAAACUUAAAUAUUUUAGUCCAUAUACUUCUGAGAGGCUUAAGCAUCUAAGUCAAAGGCCCAGGAAAGUAUGUAUUCUUGAAUUCAGAGAUCUGAGCUGCCUUCAGGACUGAAAUGCACAAGCAAGAUAAUUUUUUUAAUAGAAAGAGAAAAUGUUACAAUGAACAUGGGUUAAGGACAAAAUUAUUAUAGCCCAGUCUUGGGUAACUCAUCAGAAAGGACAGUCAGGUUCUAGUCCUGCUGGUGGUGAGUGUGCAAAACAGUUUCGCAUAUGUAAGGACUAAAAGAUGUCCACACUGGACUCUGUGACCUCAUGGUUAGGGCACUGCUGAGGUAUUGUGACAGAUGUGUUUCCCUCAGGCAGAGACAAGAGUUGAAUGCAGGUCUGCCACAUCCCAGUGUAGUAAGAGAUCUAACCACCCAGGUAUUAGUUGAAAGGUGGUUCCCGUACACAGCCCUCGCUUUGUUUUCAAAAUGUGGUCUGCUGGCAAUGGAUGCAGUGCAACUCAAAACAAAGUCCUCGGUGGAAGGAGAAGAGCACAGCUAUGAGGAAGACUGGCACGUGGGUUCACAAGUUUCUGGUAUCAGUCUCACAGAGUAUCAGCAUCUUCAUGGAUGGCUGGGAAAGGGGGGCAACCUGGAAGCAGCCUGGUUUGCUACACCCCUUGUUGCCGAAUCAGCUGGAGAGCAGGAGCAGCCAUCAAGGCAGAUGCAGUAUAUCUGAGUGUGGAAUCACCUUCACCUGUGCAUCACAGGGCUACAGAAUGGGAGCUGAAUGAGAGCCUUCAAGUUUCAGUUGCUACACAAACAAAUAUGAUCUUCAGAUGGAGUUAACAAAGAAACAGAGACCAAGAAUGAGCGUGAGUGGGGUGAGGAGCAGUGAAGCCUCACAGCGUGGAAAGAUGUGAAAAAGGCCCAACAGCAGAGAAUAAGAGGAUGUGAGCUGUGCUGUGCUCACAAUGAAGUCACUGGGAAUUUUGCCAUGAAAGCAGAGCUGAGUUGUUCUUUCAGCAUUUCAGUAUCCAUCCCCAUAUUAUCUAGGCGCCACCAUAAGAUUAAGAAGCUCUGCAGUGACAUUCUCAACAUGAUCUGUUCAAAGGUCAUUAGUAGAGCCUUUCAUACCGGAAAAGAUCGGAGGAGAGCCUGGAAGUGAGCCGCAGAAGGAGAGAAAAAGGAAAAGGAGGUGGCCCAGUCCUGCUUCCGCUGAAGCCGGUUGCUGUAGUGUCUCUGAUUGCCGUGAGUGCCCGCUGAAGACAACCUGAGGAACCUGCAUUACGGAAGGCUGGCCCUGGCCCUGCAGGGCUCAUCAAUGCAGUCUGUCGCUACUGUUUCAAGAAUUAUACUGGACUUGCGCCGGUGCCACAGCUGCAUCACAGCAGUAUAAUCCUGAGGCCAGGCAGCAGCAGCCCAGGCUCCGGGAGGAUGUGUUUCAGCAGAGCACCGGGCACAUCCAAAACCUUAAAGGUUUGGGGUCUCAACCCAGCCAUCAUCAGUACUCCUAACAAUAGGCACAAAACCAUCUUCUGCCACCAUAAGUGGUCAUCGAUAACUCAACAGCGAGAAAAUAGUCCUGCUCGGAAGUUAUCUUUCUUCACAGAGCUGGCACAAAAGCUGGCUUGUGUGCUGGUGAAGCAGAAGUGGCUCUGGUCCAGGCUGCAUUCCUUUAAGCAACCCAACUCCUUGAUAAUUACUCGGUUUUUCGUAAUUCUACUCAUCUUGUUGCGCCAAGUUAUCCCACAGAUUUUAUUCUGCUCCUCGUACAUGUAAAUGUUAGGCAUGUUUAAGUAUCUUAAUAAAUUACAUUCUAGGUUAAUUUUCUGGCCUUUUUUUAGUUCAAAAACCAACAGAGGCAGAAUCUAUAUUUUACCAUUCCAAGUUGGACACCUCGGCUCAGAGAAGUGUGGCAAAUCACUGUCAGAAACAUCCGCCCCCGAGUUAUUGUCAGGAUGGCAGAGGUUGAGGAAAUUCGCAAAACAAUGCUUCUGCGAGUCAGCCACCACUGCUCUCCUUCUGCUUCUCAAACCGGCUCCAGGCACUUUCUCUUGUUCUUUUCAUUCCCUUCCUGAAUUACUUCAGCCAAGUAAUUGUUUCAUCAUGUUGCACAGAAAUAUUUUCCCAUCGUGUCUCCGUGAUAUUCAUUUCUAAACCCAAAGCUCUGCCGCUCGCUUAUAGAAAAUAUCUCGCACAACUUUGGUACAGCCAGAUCCCAGGGGAGCUACCGGAGGGGGGAAGACAGCAGGUGAGGCGUUAGAGGGACUUCGGCAUUGUUGGAAGGAGACUGUGAUUCCUGUUACUCUAAUUUCUAGACAACAGCAAUGAGCUGUUUACCACAGGCUUAAUGAAUGCUGUUGCAAUAUCCUAGCAAACCCUAGGUAUUUAUAGAAAACAAAAAAGCCGUUGCACUUGGUUUGUAUGGGGAUAGGGACCUCGGCAGCUCUUAACCUCUGUCAAAAAAUCAGUUCUUCGCUCUGGCAUGAUGUGUAAGGUGUGUGCAUUCGAGCCCACCAAAACCAGGUCUGACCUGCCCAGCACGGCUAUAGUGCGAGUUCUCAAAGGAUUUAUUCUGCAGAUUGUAUGAAAUGACGAGACCUAACAAAACCCUCCGAUUUAAAUACCCUGAACUCUGAGAAAGUGCUUUGACAGCUCUGUAAUGUGUGAUACAGGAAUCCCAGAGGCAAGAGCAGAUAGGAAAGAGCAAGGAGAAAACUGGAUGCAGAUCAAAGUCUUCCUUAGCUUUUAAUUAGCAAGAAAAUAUUACUGGCGUUUAUUAUUAUUAUUAUAUGAAUAAUUUUAAUACAUAAGUUAGUGACAAUUUUAAAACAAAUUAGGGUUAAAUUUGGUGCUGCUCUGUGAAAUUGUGGCAGUGAGUCGGAAACUUUGCAACUAAAUGUGUCCCUAUUGUAAUUGCAAAUCAAUUAUCUUCAGCAACUACUAAUACAUUUAUCCUCGUUUUGAAUUCCAGCUGUAUUGUUUUUUCACAUCCCAACAGAUGUAACCACCAACAUUUCUAGAAGGGAAGGAAAGCCUUUGCAUCAAAACAAAACAUUCAAACAAUUUAGCAGGUGGGAAAAUUAUCACGAAAGGCAUUUUGGUUUCUGGUAGUCUCCAAUAGAUCACCCUGAGCAAAUCAGAAUUGUGGCUGCGCCAAACUGGAGAGCUCUGCUUUCCUGUGGCUCCCGAGGAUUGGUGCGCUGGCGUCAAACCCCAGCGAGGGGCUCCUGGAGGCCACGCUGCCCCUUCUAGGAUCAUCUCAAAGAGAAAUUCUCUUGGAGUUUUGCAUCAGGCUAACACCACACCAGAAAUUUCACAUGAUCACAACGCCAAUCCAAGGCUGUAUCUAAUCCUUUUGUUUAUUUACAUACUCACCAUAGAUUGUGCUGCUCCUCUGUCCAGGCUGGGGCCAAACUGUCUCAAUUACUCUGAAAGAAGCAGGAACCUCGGAAUAGUAUCCAAGUGUAGCGCUUCUACCAAGGAUUAGCUUUGUGAUGCAAAGAUUGAACUCUCAGGCUAUGUUUUGGGUCCCACCAAACAGUUAAAUAGAACUUCAUUCUUUCAAUGAUUCUCUCAUCUGUUCAGUGAUUAUCUCUCAAAAGUGAACUAAUUCCCUCACAUAUACCAUGUACAGUUUAUUGACUGAUGAAUAAAACUAUUCGGAAUUUGAACUGAAAUGUUUCCUUGGGAGUAGUUAACUAAUAUUCCUAAUUUUGUUUGGAUUUCCUGAUCAAUGUAUUUGGACUCUUUCAACAUGCGUGCAUAGGUUUACAUUUUUCUUCACAUUUGUGUAUGAGGUAUGGCCUAAAAUUCUGACUGUUAGGAAUUAGUGUAGACCUAAAUACAAAAAAGGCUAACACUCAGGACAGCAGUAAUGAAUUUUUCUUUUUUUUUUUGCAUUAGCAAUCAGUAGCAAAAAAAGUUAGAACAAAAUUCAUGAUUACUCUCUGCCCACCAUACAAUCAUCUCUAUCUUGUACAAACUGAAUGCAGAACUCUGCCAUUCCAGUUUGGUGGUGCUUUAGAUUUACUUUGUGUUGGUAUGAAUGACAGGAAAAUGCACAACAAUGCUCAUUGUAUCUUAAGUGACAUCACUACAAAUAACAAAAGAUUUUUAAUUUGGCCUCGUAUACAUUUUCUCUUUAUUAAAGCAGGUACGGAGUUGCAAUGACUUUUAUUCUGCUCACAGCUAAUGAAACACUGCUUGAAAACGACCUAGUAUGAAAGUACCUCAUUUUCAUACACAUCCACAUCAAUGACAGUUGUUGUAGCAAUGAAAUUGUAAAGAUAAACAUUGUGCACAAAGCUUUUUUCAGGCUAUAAUUUCAGUAUCUGAAGGCUAUUGCAGAAUCUCAAUGAGGGAAAAAAAACCCCAUACUGUUUUCAAAUGUGAUCAAGUCUCCUGUCCAAUAACCCUUUGCGGCGUGUGCACCAUUCGGAUGAUUUUAUUUGCUAGAGGAGAAGCAAUUAGUAUAGACACAAGCCUGAAUUUUCCUGCAUCUUCCAAGAGUCAGGAGAAGAGUGAAAGCAACGCCACACAACGUCAGAGCUGCAUGGGGCUUUGAGCAGAUAAGCAGCGAGUAAUAAUUUCCAUUAAUAGAUAAAAGAACUGUUAACAAAAUUAUAAUUGUAUUUAACUAUUUUGUUUUAAAACCAUAUAAAUGAUUCUUUUUGCAGAACUAAGCGCAACUGAAUUCAAACACCUAACAAAUGAGAAAACAAUGCUG